UACGAAGGGGGCUAGCGUUGCUCGGAAUCACUGGGCGUAAAGCGCACGUAGGCGGCUUUUUAAGUCAGGGGUGAAAUCCUGGAGCUCAACUCCAGAACUGCCUUUGAUACUGAGAAGCUUGAGUCCGGGAGAGGUGAGUGGAACUGCGAGUGUAGAGGUGAAAUUCGUAGAUAUUCGCAAGAAGACCAGUGGCGAAGGCGGCUCAGUGGCGCGGUACUGACGCUGAGGUGCGAAAGCGUGGGGAGCAAGCAGG
RNAcentral lists this ribosomal RNA (253 nucleotides) under uncultured bacterium. RNAcentral describes it as "partial 16S ribosomal RNA". It matches the Rfam family "Bacterial small subunit ribosomal RNA", at positions 524 to 776 of the family's 1533-position model. The record is from RNAcentral.